This 345-nucleotide ribosomal RNA is filed under the name Triticum aestivum (bread wheat). RNAcentral's name for it is "partial small subunit ribosomal RNA". The record is from RNAcentral. Lineage: Eukaryota; Viridiplantae; Streptophyta; Magnoliopsida; Poales; Poaceae.
AUGGGCUACUGCUCGCACCUCUACCUACAGGUUACAGGUUCCUUCCUUCCUCUAGAUGGUGGCCUGGGAAGGAAGAUUUUUGUUAAUUCAUUCAGAGUUCUAUCAUGCACAAUCAUGUAUGCACACCAGUCUAUCCAGAAGAUUAGGUCGCGGCCCUCUCUGCCCGGGCCGCCGGCUUCCCGGAGGGCCGCAUCCGGCCUGCCGCAAGUACACCUAAGCUACCGCCUCCCAGGGGGCCGCAAUUGGAAGUGGAUGACCAAGGAGAAGGUGCACCGUGGGGGCCAGGCGCUUAAGUGGGAGGCGGAGCUCGCCUCCCCCAACAACGACGACUUCGAUCUCAAGUGA